AGAGAGGAUGCACACUCUGAAGAGGGCAGGCAGCUUCUGCACCGAGGGAGCAAAGGGGCGUGUCAGGGGCAGCUGCUGGAAGGAGGCGCAAGCACCACGGAGAGUCUGGGAUGCCCAGCCAAGGAGCCCUGGAAGGGUUGCCCUGGGGACUGACACUGUGGGCUCUGUGUUUUAGCCAAGUCACCCAGGCAGCUGAACAGAAGAUGGACUGGAGGGAGAAGCCUGGAUGAUCGCUCAGCAACAAAGGAGCCAGAAAAGGCAAGGUGUACACACCGUGUGCAGCAUGGGCGAGCUGCAGGCAUGCAGAACUUCUGAGUCCUAACCAUGGCUGGUGGCUCUUCCAGGAACAUGGUUUCCUGGACCCAAAAGGUCACUAUCCUUAAUCCCUCUCCCUGUGGGGUCUUCCCUAUCUUGAGCCUGUGGACAGCUGUGCAGUGGCAAGAAAAAGGCCUUCAGAGCUACGCAGACCUGGCUUCAAAUCCCAGCCUCCCUGAUGAGCCCUGGUGGUCUUGGAGCUGUAACGCUCACUGCGAAGAUCUGCAGCUUCACUCCUGAGCCCAGCGAGACCGUGAACCCACCGGGAGGAACGAACAACUCCAGACCCGCUGCCUUAAGAGCUGUAACACUCACUGCGAAGGUCUGCAGCUUCACUCCUGAGCCAGCGAGACCACGAACCCACCCGAAGGAAGAAACUCCGAACACAUCUGAACAUCAGAAGGGAUAGACUCCAGAUGCGCCACCUUAAGAGCUGUAACACUCACCGCGAGGGUCCGCAGCUUCAUUCUUGAAGUCAAUGAGACCAAGAACCCACCAAUUCCGGACACAAAAUGACACAGUCCCUGCCCACAUGGAGCUGACAUUCUCAUGGAGAGAAAGGGACAAAUAAACAAAUGUACAAUACUCCAAGUAGUCAUAGUGCUGUGAAGAAAAUAAAGUGAUACAAGGGAACUAUGAGAACCUUGGGAAUGGGGGCGCUGUUUUAAACAGGCCCAUUUGGAAGUUUCUCUUUCCUUUGAGCCAAGUCCUGAAGGAAAUGAGAGAGGGAUAUGGGGGGAAGAAUGUUCCAGGCAGAGAGAUCAGCCAGUGCAAAGGCCCUGAGGCAGGAGUGUGCCCCAAGGGGUGUAGGAACAGUGUGGAGCUGGUAGGGCUGUGGCAGAGUGAGGGUGAGAGAGAAAGGAAGGGGGUGAUGGGCCUGGGGGGCAGACCAUGCUGAGCAGCGGCUUUUAAUUUUUAUUGAUUACAUCUUCCAUAAGAAAUCAGUUUUAUAUGGCAAUCCAAGACAGAUAUCCACAUAUAAACAUACAACUGAGAUAAACUAUAUGUGUGCACUCUGAUAUAUUUUAUUUUAUUUUAUUCUGUUUCAUUAAAAAAUAACAUGAGUAAUGAUCUUCAAA
RNAcentral lists this long non-coding RNA (1394 nucleotides) under Homo sapiens (human). RNAcentral's name for it is "long independently transcribed non-coding RNA 2757, transcript variant 3 (LINC02757)". Lineage: Eukaryota; Metazoa; Chordata; Mammalia; Primates; Hominidae. The record is from RNAcentral.